This 465-nucleotide ribosomal RNA is filed under the name uncultured bacterium. RNAcentral describes it as "partial 16S ribosomal RNA". It matches the Rfam family "Bacterial small subunit ribosomal RNA", at positions 28 to 507 of the family's 1533-position model. The record is from RNAcentral.
GAUGAACGCUGGCGGCGUGCUUAACACAUACAAGUCGAACGGAAAGGCUCCUGCUUGCAGGGGUACUCGAGUGGCGAACGGGUGAGUAACACGUGGGUGAUCUGCCCUGCACUUCGGGAUAAGCCUGGGAAACUGGGUCUAAUACCGGAUAGGACGAUGGUUUGGAUGCCAUUGUGGAAAGUUUUUCGGUGUGGGAUGAGCUCGCGGCCUAUCAGCUUGUUGGUGGGGUAAUGGCCUACCAAGGCGUCGACGGGUAGCCGGCCUGAGAGGGUGUACGGCCACAUUGGGACUGAGAUACGGCCCAGACUCCUACGGGAGGCAGCAGUGGGGAAUAUUGCACAAUGGGCGCAAGCCUGAUGCAGCGACGCCGCGUGGGGGAUGACGGCCUUCGGGUUGUAAACUCCUUUCGCUAGGGACGAAGCGCAAGUGACGGUACCUGGAGAAGAAGCACCGGCUAACUACGUG